AUUGAACGCUGGCGGCAUGCCUUACACAUGCAAGUCGAACGGCAGCGGGCCCUUCGGGGUGCCGGCGAGUGGCGAACGGGUGAGUAAUGCAUCGGAACGUACUCGGGUGAGGGGGAUAACAGGCUGAAAGGCCGGCUAAUACUGCAUGAACUCGGAAGCGCAAAGCGGGGGACCUUCGGGCCUUGCGCUCUCGGAGCGGCCGAGGCCCGUUUGGGCUAGUUGUUGGGGUAAUGGCCCACUAAGGCGACGUUCGGGAGCGGGUGUGAUGGGAGGGUGCCCCGCACGGGAACGGAGACACGCCCCAGGCGCCUAAGGGAGGCAGCAGUGGGGAAGCGGGGACAAUGGGCGCAAGUCUGGCCCAGCAGGGCCGCGUGGGUGAAGAAGGCCUUCGGGUUGGAAAGCCCGUUCGGCGGGGAAGAAAUCGGUCAGGCGAAUAGUCUGGCCGGAUGACGGUACCCGCAAAAGAAGCACCGGCUAACUACGUG
This 485-nucleotide ribosomal RNA is filed under the name uncultured bacterium. RNAcentral's name for it is "partial 16S ribosomal RNA". It matches the Rfam family "Bacterial small subunit ribosomal RNA", at positions 28 to 507 of the family's 1533-position model. The record is from RNAcentral.